AACGCGAAGAACCUUACCCAGACUUGACAUGCAGUGGACAGUUCCAGAAAUGGGAUCUCCCUUCGGGGCCGCUGCACAGGUGCUGCAUGGCUGUCGUCAGCUCGUGCCGUGAGGUGUUGGGUUAAGUCCCGCAACGAGCGCAACCCUUAUCAUUAGUUGCCAACACGUGAAGGUGGGAACUCUAAUGAGACUGCCUGGGUUAACCAGGAGGAAGGUGAGGAUGACGUCAAGUCCGCAUGGCCCUUAUGUCUGGGGCUACACACGUGCUACAAUGGUCGGUACAGAAGGCAGCGAAACCGCAAGGCGAAGCAAAUCCCGAAAGCCGGCCUCAGUUCAGAUUGUAGUCUGCAACUCGACUACAUGAAGACGGAAUUGCUAGUAAUGGCGAGUCAGCAACAUCGCCGUGAAUACGUUCCCGGGCCUUGUACACACCGCUGUA
Molecule: ribosomal RNA, 439 nt
Filed under: uncultured bacterium
Lineage: Bacteria
Description: bacterial SSU rRNA
Rfam family: Bacterial small subunit ribosomal RNA
Source: RNAcentral